ACGAACGCUGGCGGCGUGCUUAACACAUGCAAGUCGAACGGUGAAGGGACUGGUUUUGCUGGUCCUGGAUGAGUGGCGAACGGGUGAGUAACACGUGAGUAACCUGCCCCCUUCUUCUGGAUAACCGCAUGAAAGUGUGGCUAAUACGGGAUAUUCUGGGUCUGUCGCAUGGUGGGCCUGGGAAAGAUUGCGCCUUUCUUGGUGUUUUUGGUGGGGGAUGGGCUCGCGGCCUAUCAGCUUGUUGGUGGGGUGAUGGCCUACCAAGGCGGUGACGGGUAGCCGGCCUGAGAGGGUGGACGGUCACACUGGGACUGAGACACGGCCCAGACUCCUACGGGAGGCAGCAGUGGGGAAUAUUGCACAAUGGGCGCAAGCCUGAUGCAGCGACGCCGCGUGAGGGAUGGAGGCCUUCGGGUUGUGAACCUCUUUCGCCAGUGAAGCAGGCCUGCCUCUUUUUGUGGGUGGGUUGACGGUAGCUGGAUAAGAAGCGCCGGCUAACUACGUG
This 505-nucleotide ribosomal RNA is filed under the name uncultured bacterium. Its description in RNAcentral is "partial 16S ribosomal RNA". It matches the Rfam family "Bacterial small subunit ribosomal RNA", at positions 29 to 507 of the family's 1533-position model. The record is from RNAcentral.